UGCAGCAGGGCUGGGCCUGCACUCACCGGCAGCAGGAAGUACAGAGACCCGCACUGCUGGGAACUGCACUGAAAUCUUCUGGAUUUCAUUGAGCAUGCUGAGGAACAGUCAAGGCAAAGUCAUGUAAAUUGUUACACCUUUGACAACUUAUUAUACUGAAGUGAAGAGAUGUCAGUGAGGAUUGAGAUCUGGAUUACUUUAAAGCCUUGCAUGUAGGCCAUGAGGAGUAGCAUUUCCUUGAACAGUGCUGAGGAAGUCUCUCUGAAGAUUCCCUCCCACAACUUCUUGAGCUGACCCAUAUCUUAGCUGGGCUUGAAGCCAAAGUUCUUGUCACUGAAGAAUGCUUUGCUAAAACCUCUCACUUCACAGCACUGUGGAGAGGGAGAGAAGUGUGGUGGUGGUAGUGUUGCUGAAAUCUUAUCCCAAAGCAGAUUCAGAGGCAUUUGGGCAGCUAUGGCCAUGGCUGUUGUCGACUUAAAUUGUUGGGUGGGUAUUUUUGGGUGUGGGGAUAUAUAUUUACUGUGGCAUACAAUCAAACCCAUUGCCCUUUGAUUAGGUGUAUCUUGCACCCUAGUCCCCUCCCCUGAACUUGUUUUCCCCCUCACUUUUUCUGUCAUUUAAAGCUGGGAAAAUAUGUAGUGUUCUAUGUCACAUUACUAUACUUUGUAGCUUUGUGGAAAAGGAAGUUUUGCUGUUACCACUGAGUGAAAUAAGCUAUAUAGUAUGACUGAGCAAUUACUUUAUUUUACAAUUGUAAAGAACCAAAACAUUCUUUGUGGAUGAAAAAAUAAAAUAUUUUAAUUUUCUCUAAAA
Mauremys reevesii (Reeves's turtle) is the source of this 813-nucleotide long non-coding RNA. RefSeq lists it as uncharacterized. The record is from RefSeq and is a predicted model, not a curated record. The transcript is spliced from 4 exons. NCBI's taxonomy places the organism in Eukaryota, Metazoa, Chordata, Testudines, Geoemydidae.